CGGCGAGUGAAGCGGUAACAGCUCAAAUUUGAAAUCUGGCCUCACGGUCCGAGUUGUAAUUUGUAGAGGAUGCUUCGAGCAUGGUCUGGCCUAAGUUCCUUGGAACAGGACGUCAUAGAGGGUGAGAAUCCCGUAUGCGGCCAGGUGCCUACGCUCAUGUGAAGCUCCUUCGACGAGUCGAGUUGUUUGGGAAUGCAGCUCAAAAUGGGUGGUAAAUUUCAUCUAAAGCUAAAUAUUGGCCAGAGACCGAUAGCGCACAAGUAGAGUGAUCGAAAGAUGAAAAGCACUUUGGAAAGAGAGUUAAACAGUACGUGAAAUUGUUGAAAGGGAAGCGCUUGCAACCAGACUUGCGCGCGGCCGAUCAUCCGGUGUUCUCACCGGUGCACUCGGCCGUGCUCAGGCCAGCAUCGGUUUUGGCGGCUGGAUAAAGGCCCUAGGAAUGUAGCUCCUCUCGGGGAGUGUUAUAGCCUAGGGUGCAAUGCAGCCUGCUGGGACCGAGGACCGCGCUUCGGCUAGGAUGCUGGCGUAAUGGUUGUAAGCGGCCCGUCUUGAAACACGGACCAAGGAGUCUAACAUCUAUGCGAGUGUUUGGGUGUCAAACCCAUACGCGUAAUGAAAGUGAACGGAGGUGAGAACCCUUAAGGGUGCAUCAUCGACCGGUCCUGAAGUUUACGGAAGGAUCUGAGUAAGAGCAUAGCUGUUGGGACCCGAAAGAUGGUGAACUAUGCCUGAAUAGGGUGAAGCCAGAGGAAACUCUGGUGGAGGCUCGCAGCGGUUCUGACG
RNAcentral lists this ribosomal RNA (783 nucleotides) under Pseudogymnoascus sp. RNAcentral's name for it is "partial large subunit ribosomal RNA". It matches the Rfam family "Eukaryotic large subunit ribosomal RNA", at positions 87 to 891 of the family's 3401-position model. The record is from RNAcentral. Lineage: Eukaryota; Fungi; Ascomycota; Leotiomycetes; Thelebolales; Thelebolaceae.